Molecule: transfer RNA, 73 nt
Filed under: Caerostris darwini
Lineage: Eukaryota; Metazoa; Arthropoda; Arachnida; Araneae; Araneidae
Description: tRNA-Thr
Rfam family: tRNA
About the family: Transfer RNA (tRNA) molecules are approximately 80 nucleotides in length.
Source: RNAcentral
GUCACCAUAGCUCAGUGGUUAGAGCACUUGUCUCGUAAACCAGGGGUCGUGAGUUCAAACCUCCCUGGUGGCU